RNAcentral lists this ribosomal RNA (864 nucleotides) under uncultured bacterium. Its description in RNAcentral is "bacterial SSU rRNA". It matches the Rfam family "Bacterial small subunit ribosomal RNA", at positions 8 to 916 of the family's 1533-position model. The record is from RNAcentral.
AGAGUUUGAUCAUGGCUCAGAACGAACGCUGGCGGCAUGCCUAACACAUGCAAGUCGAACGCGUGGCUUCGGCCACGAGUGGCGCACGGGUGAGUAACGCGUGGGAACCUGCCCGGCAGUACGGGACAACCGCGGGAAACUGCGGCUAAUACCGUAUACGGCCUGAGGGCGAAAGAAUUUCGCUGUCGGAGGGGCCCGCGUCGGAUUAGGUAGUUGGUGGGGUAACGGCCUACCAAGCCUGCGAUCCGUAGCUGGUCUGAGAGGAUGAUCAGCCACACUGGGACUGAGACACGGCCCAGACUCCUACGGGAGGCAGCAGUGGGGAAUAUUGGACAAUGGGCGCAAGCCUGAUCCAGCAAUGCCGCGUGAGUGAUGAAGGCCUUAGGGUUGUAAAGCUCCUUCGCCCGCGACGAUGAUGACGGUAGCGGGAGAAGAAGCCCCGGCUAACUCCGUGCCAGCAGCCGCGGUAAUACGGAGGGGGCUAGCGUUGUUCGGAAUUACUGGGCGUAAAGGGCGCGCAGGCGGCUGCUCAAGUCAGGCGUGAAAGGCCUGGGCUCAACCCGGGAAUUGCGCUUGAGACUGGGCUGGCUUGAGUGCGGGAGAGGAUGGUGGAAUUCCCAGUGUAGAGGUGAAAUUCGUAGAUAUUGGGAAGAACACCGGUGGCGAAGGCGGCCAUCUGGACCGCAACUGACGCUGAGGCGCGAAAGCGUGGGGAGCAAGCAGGAUUAGAUACCCUGGUAGUCCACGCCGUAAACGAUGAGUGCUAGACGUUGGGAAGCCUAGCUUUCCGGUGUCGCAGCUAACGCAUUAAGCACUCCGCCUGGGGAGCACGGCCGCAAGGUUAAAACUCAAAUGAAUUGACGG